Molecule: transfer RNA, 77 nt
Filed under: Bacteroidales bacterium
Lineage: Bacteria; Pseudomonadati; Bacteroidota; Bacteroidia; Bacteroidales
Description: tRNA-Arg
Rfam family: tRNA
About the family: Transfer RNA (tRNA) molecules are approximately 80 nucleotides in length. Their secondary structure includes four short double-helical elements and three loops (D, anti-codon, and T loops).
Source: RNAcentral
GGUGAGGUAGCUCAACUGGAUAGAGCAGCUGUCUACGAAGCAGCCGGUUGUGGGUUCGAGUCCCUCCCUCAUCACCA